AUGCCAUGGUGUGGGCACGCUUGAAUAUACUCCUGGAGACACUCCCAGACUUCCGGGAUGGUCUCAUCUUGUAAUUGCUGAAUCCCGGUAAUCCUAUUUCAGAGGGC
Panicum virgatum (switchgrass) is the source of this 107-nucleotide small nucleolar RNA. Lineage: Eukaryota; Viridiplantae; Streptophyta; Magnoliopsida; Poales; Poaceae. The record is from RefSeq and is a predicted model, not a curated record.